This 231-nucleotide ribosomal RNA is filed under the name uncultured bacterium. RNAcentral's name for it is "partial 16S ribosomal RNA". It matches the Rfam family "Bacterial small subunit ribosomal RNA", at positions 102 to 334 of the family's 1533-position model. The record is from RNAcentral.
ACGGGUGAGUAACACGUAUCCAACCUGCCGUCUACUCUUGGACAGCCUUCUGAAAGGAAGAUUAAUACAAGAUGGCAUCAUGAGUUCACAUGUUCACAUGAUUAAAGGAUUCCGGUAAAGGAUGGGGAUGCGUUCCAUUAGGUUGUUGGUGAGGUAACGGCUCACCAAGCCUUCGAUGGAUAGGGGUUCUGAGAGGAAGGUCCCCCACAUUGGAACUGAGACACGGUCCAA